GACGAACGCUGGCGGCGUGCCUAAUACAUGCAAGUCGAGCGGAUCUUUUCCUUCGGGGAAAGGUUAGCGGCGGACGGGUGAGUAACACGUAGGUAACCUGCCUGUAAGACUGGGAUAACAUUCGGAAACGAAUGCUAAUACCGGAUACGCGAUUUGGUCGCAUGAUCGAAUCGGGAAAGAUGGAGCAAUCUAUCACUUACAGAUGGACCUGCGGCGCAUUAGCUAGUUGGUGAGGUAACGGCUCACCAAGGCGACGAUGCGUAGCCGACCUGAGAGGGUGAUCGGCCACACUGGGACUGAGACACGGCCCAGACUCCUACGGGAGGCAGCAGUAGGGAAUCUUCCGCAAUGGACGAAAGUCUGACGGAGCAACGCCGCGUGAGUGAUGAAGGUUUUCGGAUCGUAAAGCUCUGUUGCCAGGGAAGAAUGGACCGGGGAGUAACUGCCCUGGUUAUGACGGUACCUGAGAAGAAAGCCCCGGCUAACUACGUGCCAGCCGCCGCCGUAAAAC
RNAcentral lists this ribosomal RNA (511 nucleotides) under uncultured bacterium. RNAcentral describes it as "bacterial SSU rRNA". It matches the Rfam family "Bacterial small subunit ribosomal RNA", at positions 28 to 526 of the family's 1533-position model. The record is from RNAcentral.